CUAAAAUGCACAGGUCGUGAGUUCGAUGAGUAGGGCGGGACACGUGACAUCCUGUCUGAAUAUGGGGGGACCAUCCUCCAAGGCUAAAUACUCCUGACUGACCGAUAGUGAACCAGUACCGUGAGGGAAAGGCGAAAAGAACCCCGGCGAGGGGAGUGAAAUAGAACCUGAAACCGUGUACGUACAAGCAGUGGGAGCACCUUCGUGGUGUGACUGCGUACCUUUUGUAUAAUGGGUCAGCGACUUAUAUUUUGUAGCAAGGUUAACCGUAUAGGGGAGCCGUAGGGAAACCGAGUCUUAACUGGGCGAUUAGUUGCAAGGUAUAGACCCGAAACCCGGUGAUCUAGCCAUGGGCAGGUUGAAGGUUGGGUAACACUAACUGGAGGACCGAACCGACUAAUGUUGAAAAAUUAGCGGAUGACUUGUGGCUGGGGGUGAAAGGCCAAUCAAACCGGGAGAUAGCUGGUUCUCCCCGAAAGCUAUUUAGGUAGCGCCUCGUGAACUCAUCUUCGGGGGUAGAGCACUGUUUCGGCUAGGGGGCCAUCCCGGCUUACCAAACCGAUGCAAACUCCGAAUACCGAAGAAUGUUAUCACGGGAGACACACGGCGGGUGCUAACGUCCGUCGUGAAGAGGGAAACAACCCAGACCGCCAGCUAAGGUCCCAAAGUCAUGGUUAAGUGGGAAACGAUGUGGGAAGGCAUAGACAGCCAGGAUGUUGGCUUAGAAGCAGCCAUCAUUUAAAGAAAGCGUAAUAGCUCACUGGUCGAGUCGGCCUGCGCGGAAGAUGUAACGGGGCUAAACCAUGCACCGA
This 812-nucleotide ribosomal RNA is filed under the name Serratia marcescens. Its description in RNAcentral is "partial 23S ribosomal RNA". It matches the Rfam family "Bacterial large subunit ribosomal RNA", at positions 380 to 1197 of the family's 2925-position model. The record is from RNAcentral. Lineage: Bacteria; Pseudomonadati; Pseudomonadota; Gammaproteobacteria; Enterobacterales; Yersiniaceae.